GACGAACGCUGGCGGCGUGCUUAACACAUGCAAGUCGAACGGAGCUAUUUAUUUCGGUAGAUAGCUUAGUGGCAAACGGGUGAGUAACGCGUAGGCAACCUGCCCUCAGGAUGGGGACAACGGCUCGAAAGAGCCGCUAAUACCGAAUGACGUAACUCUUCCACAUGGAAGAGAUACUAAAGAUGGGUCAAACCAUCGCCUAAGGAUGGGCCUGCGUCUGAUUAGCCAGCUGGUGAGGUAACGGCUCACCAAAGCGACGAUCAGUAGCCGGUCUGAGAGGAUGAACGGCCACAAUGGGACUGAGACACGGCCCAUACUCCUACGGGAGGCAGCAGUGGGGAAUCUUCCGCAAUGGGCGAAAGCCUGACGGAGCAACGCCGCGUGAGUGAAGAAGGUCUUCGGAUCGUAAGGCUCUGUUGUCGGGGACGAAAGGAAAGGGGAGGCAAUGCCCUUUUCAAGACGGUACCCGAC
RNAcentral lists this ribosomal RNA (471 nucleotides) under Veillonellaceae bacterium oral taxon 155. Its description in RNAcentral is "bacterial SSU rRNA". It matches the Rfam family "Bacterial small subunit ribosomal RNA", at positions 28 to 483 of the family's 1533-position model. The record is from RNAcentral. Lineage: Bacteria; Bacillati; Bacillota; Negativicutes; Veillonellales; Veillonellaceae.